GCCCAUCCGCGGGCCGGGCGGGAGCGAGGCACAUCGGCUGAGGUAAAAACCCUGAAAUUGUGAGGUAAACCCCCCGUAUUCCUGAGGUUAAAGCUAAUAUUCCCGAGGUAAAGCCCUCUAAUCUUGAGGUAAAACGCCGCACUGGGCCCUACGCGGGGCUCGUAGACACUUCUCGGGGCUGCGGGCGGGACGGCUCCACCGCGGCGUCCAGAGGGACAGAGUGACGCUCGGAAGGACGCUCCCAGGGACGUUCCUUCAGCGCCCGCCGUGCUCUCUGAGCGCCCCGCGCAGAUUCUCGCCCUCAGGGCUCUGCAGCCAGGCCGGCUCCCUCUCCGUCACCUUUCCUAAAGUGUAUUUAUAGAUGUAGCAGCCAGCAGGAUGGCUGGGUGCAGGUAGCAUCAAGAAUCGUCGGGGUGCUGCUUAAAUUCGUUUACUUGGGAAGCCUGAUUUCUAUCAGAAUGCAAGCAGUGGUGUUCAUGUGGCUGCUGUGUUUAAAAAUGCUGUUCUCUAUGGCGUUUGUAUUUCUGGUAGGAAAGAAAAAUGAAUUAGAGAGGCUGCAGUGCUGGGUUGGUGUAGCCAAAGGCCCCUGAUGCACAUGAAGGGCAGUUUGAGGCAGUUACAUCCCCUGUUUGUUCAGGUACUGAGUGCCUAAACCUUGAAAAUGACCAGUCCUGCAAAGGAUACCCACUUCUUAUCCACUCCCCAGAGAGGUGGGCAGCAGUGUUGGUGUAACAGAGGAGUUAGGACUCAGGUGGAUGUAACUGAGAGUGAUCGGAGCUGUUGGGAAAGCACUUUCAGACUCACUGACUUUCAGCCUGGUGAGUUCUCUGUUCCAGUCCUCACUGUGGCCCCAAGGAGAAGCAGGAACUCAAUAAAUAAAAGCUCUCUGCUAUGGAGGUAUAGCUGUAAUAAACACAGUUCUGCCUCGCAUCUCUCAGUGUGCUUCUUCCAUGUCUCCCCUAACUUUUGCUAUCUGCAGACAAAACGAUUUCACUUCUUUCCCCAUGAGCCCUAGUUUUAGACCUCUGAAUGUAUAUGUUUUUUCCCCACCCAUUUUCUCUUAAAACCAUCCACGUUUUGCUGAACCACAGCACCCAAGACUGGACACAGAGCUACAGUCAAGUCCACCAGCAUCUAUGUCAUGCCCAUCAUACACUGUAUUCCAGUUUAAACACGCCAGUACAAAGACUUUUCAGACAGUGAUCUAUUCACAGUAUUGCUGACCUGUUUUACCCCAUCAUCCAUUUCUCCUGACCUACCAGUUAUUUCUCCUUCAAGUAGACAGUAAUGCUACUCAAGAAUGAUUUAUUGCAACUGUUGUAAUCCUUUCCGUUCUUUUUUAUUGCUGGAUAGAUGGACAAUCAAGCAGUCAAGACAUCUUUUAAAACAAAAUUCCACAUGCUUUUAAGUAAGAAAAUAGUAAAACCUGCCAUCUUUGUAAGUCAACUGUAUUCCUGGGUUAGAACUGUGUUAUGGUUACGGAAUUAUUUAUACAGAAUUAAAACUUUAAGUUCACCUAAAGCAACUUAGCUAAAAUAACCUAAAUGCAAACCAUGGUCUGUAACAAAUAAUUCAAGUCAGUUUAUUGUCUACAUCAGUGUUAGGUAAAUUUUUGCAAAAAUGGUAACUUCCCAUUACUCUGAUAAAUGAGAAACCAAACCUGCAGAUGCACAUAUUUUGCUUUCUUACUUGUACUUAAUUCUGUUACUUUUGUUUAUCAGCCUAAUUCUGAAGUACUCUGAUUUAUUCACUGCCCCCUGCUCUUGUUUCUUCUAAACAUUGUGCAGGUCAUAAGGUUACUGAUGUCAAACUGUAAAAGGGAAGUUCUUGCAGAGAGUGAUGGCUGGACAGGCUGCUUAGAUGAAGUUGAGCAUGUCUUUUUAAAUGGUUGUGCUUAAGUCUUCCCAUUAUUAAAUUAAAUCAGUCAAUGUUAAAAAUCUAAAACUGAAGUGUCUGAUAUGAUUAUUUAUUGAAGUCUCUGUUGUAGAAGGGAUAAAACUCAAGACCACUAUCCCAGUUUGCUGUCCUGCCUGCAGGUUUUUUAUUUUUCAUUCUGUCAUUGUGAAACAGCUGUAAAAUCAGUUCUUCACUAUAGCUGCACAACGGGGUAAAGAAUGCAUUCAGAUAGUUCGGUUUCUCUGAAAACUGCUUCAUCUGUUAUUGUCCAUUCUGACUGUGUAGAGCACUUUAAUCGUGUGUUUUAUAUUAAGUGUACUUGUAUGGUAACAGUUAAAGAAAAAUGCUAGGUUUUUGGUGAACAAAGAAGGAUCUUACCUUUUCUUUAACACAUUGCCAGCAGAGUUUAUGGAGUUGCUUUCCCAUCUUUUUCCAGGUUGUCAUCUUUUUUCUGUUUUGGUCUGGAAAAUCUCCAUCUGUGAAGAGAUUUAGGAUCACAGCGUAAGAUACAAAUGUGAAACUGCUAAUAUUUAGGAGGAGCUGUUACUUGGCUUUCUCCUAUUUUCUUUUUGGUAUAGGUUUUGUAUAGCUUAAAAAUGAUUGCACAAAGCCCGGGCAGUGAUGGAGAAAAAUACAUUUAAAAAACUUCAGAUAUUUCGCACAUAUGGAUAUUUUGUAUAUAUUGUAUAUGUGUAAAUAUAUGAAAUAUAUAAAAUAUCAAUUUGCAGAAGUAAAAAUUAAAUGUCAUCGGAUAAGUUUCACAGGGAAUGAAGUUGUACAUGCAAGUGUGUAGGUGUGAAAAUAGUCAUGCAUGCAAUAUCUGCACCCCUUCCUGAAGAUCUACAAGAAAUAAAGUUUUUAACCACUGUAUUUCUCUUGCUGUCAAAGGCACAAGAUAGGCUUAUUCUUUUAAAAGUUACACUGCCUUACAGUUCCUAAAACCACGUAGAAAGGAAUUUCCACGGCCGGCUCUUUACCAGUCCUUUUUAGCACCCAAGCAGCCAGAACAGCAGUCAGGAGUCCUCCAAAACAGACAUUUUGCACCAGUGACUCAGAUUUGUUCCGCUUCACGUUUUUUGUGACUGAAGUUCCACUAUAGACCAUCUGUUACGGCCACUCGGGCAGGAAUACAAGCUCACAUCCACGUUGGUGUUCUGUCUGCUCUUUACAUAGAAACUUAUCAAACAGGAUUUGCUAAACAGAUAACAGUGUGGAAGACCCGCUCUACUGAGCAAUAAACAUAAAUGGAUUUACCUGGAGCUUGUAAAUGUUUCAGGAAACACAUCCAGCAUGUAUUUGUCUACAGUAAGGGUCAUAUAAUAGUCCAUAAAGAUCUCCUGUAAGUCAAAAGGAGCAUUAUCAGUGGGCCUAUGGGAUUAGUUCAGAUAUUCCCUGUACCAAUCCUAGUAAGCAAGAAAAGAUGUGAUCUCCCCAGAGAACUAAUUAUUCAGGCCAGCAGGAAGAAAGACCAGAAAGAGAAAAUGUUAUGGAGGAAGCAGCAGUGCUGUUUGAAGAGGCAAAUCAUUGUGUGAACAAGGCUUUUCUGAUGCAUCUUUUAACAAAAGUGAACAAGGUAGAAUCCUGCAUCAAAGUAACCGUCCUGCUCCAUCAAUUUGAUUGAAACAGUACCAUCUGACAUUUUUUUUACUUUUGAAUCAAAUUUAUCUGGAUCAAAAAAAAAUUAUUUCAGCUGUUUAUAGUGCAGUUGAUUUCUGCUUUCUUAUGUUUCAUAUUUUGGGGGGGAAUGGUAUGAUCAAUUUUUGGGCAAUGUUUAUAAUCAAUGCCAAAUCUCAGUAAUAAGAAGCUUGUGCUGCUUGCAUCAGUGCUUCUCUAUGUCUCGGCUAAGUAAUAACACUGUCCAUGCCCUCAGGAACUGGAAUCCUGAUAUGCACAUUUGGAAUGAGGAUUUUAGGGUCACAGACACAACUACCCGAAUGGGAACUAAGUCUUCUUCACUGUUUAUAGACACUGCAUCACUUGAAGUCUCUUUCUGUAGUCAACGUGUUGUCUCCUAGUUUAAAGCCGUCCAUCCAUCCAUUAAGAUGAGCACCCUCUGGUCUGGCCCAGCUUCCUACAUCACCAUGCUCCAAGAGAAACAAAAUGGAUACAACAGCAGUAUGUGGUUAAGGUGUGCAACAGUACUUCAAGUGUGUGAACUGCUUUCAUAGCGCUUCGCAAGUCUCCAGCAAGGGUCACCAGUGCCUGAAAACACUGAUAUGCCAAGGAAGCCAAUUCCCUGUGGGAGCAUGACUGUGCUCCACACACAGAAAUUUCCCCUUCUGUCACUUGGCAUAGUUCAGUAUGUGACUUGCUAAUUCAAAAUAUAAACAGAGAGGAACCAGGGCCAAUAGUUGAAGAGCUGCAAGCAGAAUUCUCAGUCCUUCCCAGAGCAGCCAAAUUCAGAAACACCAGGAACACACAGAAGAACAGUGAUUUUGCCCACAUCCAGUUGGCUGACAGUGAAGAGGAGCGAUCCCAUGACUGUACAGCUCAGACGAGAACAGCAUGAAGCAUUUCCGUUCCCAAUUCUACAAAAAGUCCUUUGUCACUUUGAGAAAGUUCCUUUAACAUCCUUUCAUAUCCCACUAGUCCCCUCUGAAAGCGGCUGCUAGAGAAAGUUUUGUGGGCUGAAGUCAGAUUUGGACUAGAUUAAUGCACGACGCUGAAUCUACAUGCAUACCAAGCUGAGUAAUUGUAUUGCAAGACAAUUAACACUUAGAUUUAUUCUAGGCAAUAUUUUAUUUGGGAUGGGGUGCAGCCCAAAUGGUAGAGGAAAAAGGCCAGAAAACUGUUGUGAUCAUUUAGUCUGGUGAGAGAUACAACUCAUUUCUCAAAAAAACCAAAAAGAAGUCCAGCCGUAGUCCAGUGCCAUGGUGUCCCCUAGGUACAGGCAAGUAGCUGGAAUGCGCCCCUAUCCCCCUUUAUAAAGUACCUUAUUUCCCAUUUGACUGAUGUUUUGAACGGCGUCCUAUUUCAGCUCACAGGCACUCAUCCUGUCAGACUCUGACUAUUGUAAUAAGAGCCUUUUAUUACCAAAUUUUCUCUGUAUAAAGUCAUUAGCUGAAGAACAAAGUCUGCAGCACUCACAAGCUGUGGAAGGUGGGAUAUUCCUCUUUACAUCCUUCUGUCUUCAUUCUGUGGUUUUCUCCAGCACACAAGAUGCAGUACAGGGUCUGGCAGGGGAUGAGUUUAUGGUGCUGGGGCUCAUACUGUCCACUAUCAGAUUUGGAGCGCAGGUCCCAAAGCAGCACAUGCCCUCAGUACAGCACAAGUCACUCCAUCUUUAGAGGACACUCACUCACAUGCACUUCAGAGAGACCAUGAGCUUCCUAGAAUUUGAAAUACAUAGGAUUCAGGCCAGCUCAGGAUUUACAACUUGCAUUGGUAAGUAGUGCUAUUGGCACUUACCGUAUGUUUCCUUACGGAGAAAGCAACAAAUGCAAGCGAACUUCAACAGAAAUGAAACAAUGAUAAAAACAAACAUUGGGGAAAACAUCAAAAUACAAAUUUGUACUCCAAACGUUUAGACAGUGCUAAAUCUAGAUGUGUAUCAGGCUAAGUUAACCAGAGACAGGAAGAAAUUCAGAAAUCGUCAGUCCUAGAUGAAAAGUGUAUUAGGUAGUUUUCUUUUACAUAGCUACUUCCUAAGUGUCCCCUUCACAAAGGGCACUUAAAAGCAGGUUCAUGGUGCAAGGGAAGCAGUUAAUAGCACCAGCACCAUUUCCUUUGCAGUGAUUCUCCCAGCAAUGCAGCCGCCCCCUGCAGCACUGGUACAGCUGAUGGUGCCCCACACCCUUGGAGUUGCACUGACAGCUUUUUCUGCUCUGUAUUACAAAGCCUUCAGAGGCAGCAUUGGUUCCACCAGAGGAUUCAUAGUUUUCUGAAAGGACAACAGCUGCCCGUGCUCCACCUGAGUGCAGCUGAAGAGUUGAGGUCUGCAGCUGAGUGAACACAGCUUUCCUCCCUUACAUUAUUUAACAAUAAAAGGGAGACAGAGGCAAUACGUGACUUCAGCCAAGUUACAAUUCUUCAGAGUAGUUUAGGACGCAUUAUAUGUACUGCUGUGGUUUUCCAUGACUUGGGGAAAGCCUAAGUGUGUAUUGAGAAACGUCUUCAACUUUCCCAGAAUAAAGGCUGUGAAUGACUGCAGCUACUUAAGACCUGCCUUGGUUUCUAAGGAAGAUUUUAAGGGCACUGUCAGUGGCAUUAGUGCAUUAAAUACAACAACAGUAACCUGCCAGUAACCAAACAGACCUGGCAGGAAAGCGCCAUGGGUUUGUCAAACUUCAGUGAAAUUAAACACUUGCUCUGUCAUCUCUGUUCCUUACAAAUUACAGCGCAGCCUUCACACAUCUCAUGCUGUUAUCCCAACUGUGCACAGCAGUAAGAGCCACUGCUGUUUAUAACACACACUCAGAAACACAGCAAGCAAAUCGAGUCUUCAGCAGUGGUCAGAAGGCAACAGCCUUCACGUGCCCCACCAGCUCUCACUUCAGCCACCUCUUUCGCACCCGUUCCAUUGCUCAGGCUCCACAGAACGGUUUGAGUUGGAAGGGACCUUGAAAGGUCAUCUAGUCCAGCUCCCAUCUAGUGAAGAUGAACAGGGACUUGCUGUUUGCAUUCCACCCUUUGGCUCUUCAGCAACAGACCACAAAUAAAUACUCAUCGGGAUUGCUUUAGCUUCACCCCCAGCAAAGAGCCUUCAUGUAACUUUUCCUUGGGGCUACUUGGGUCACAGCCUGGAGCCCCUGUCUCUGAAGAGGUUUCUCCCUCCUGCAUUCAACCCAACCCACUGCUUCCAAGUCAGAUUUAUUGCAGCCUGCUCACGGUGUGCAGCAGUCACACAGGCUCUGCCCAGCCACACUGAGGUCAGACCACGCAGGUACCACUUCAUAGAUCCCAAGUUACUGAUCUGAGCCAGAAGACUCAGUAAUGACUUCUGCUGUGUUGUGACACGGCUUCAGCUGGGGCAGCGGGAGAGAACGUAGGAUGAGCACUGCAGUGUUUCACUGGGACAGGGAAAGGUUGGGGAUUUCUCAGCCCGCAGCCUGCCUGGCUGGUAUUAUCUCUUCACUCAUCUGUUUUUCUUCACGUGUGUUUUACUCCCUCUGGGGCAUUGGCUGCACCUCCAGCCACAGUGCAAGGUGAGCACAUAGCACGGCUCAGAAGUCAGU
Molecule: non-coding RNA, 7070 nt
Organism: Meleagris gallopavo (turkey)
Lineage: Eukaryota; Metazoa; Chordata; Aves; Galliformes; Phasianidae
Source: RefSeq, a predicted model, not a curated record